UCCUACGGGGGGCAGCAGUGAGGAAUAUUGGUCAAUGGGCGGGAGCCUGAACCAGCCAAGUCGCGUGAGGGAAGACGGUCCUAUGGAUUGUAAACCUCUUUUGUCGGGGAGCAAAGAGGACGCGUGUGGUCAAAAGCGAGAGUACCCGAAGAAAAAGCAUCGGCUAACUCCGUGCCAGCAGCCGCGGUAAUACGGAGGAUGCGAGCGUUAUCCGGAUUUAUUGGGUUUAAAGGGUGCGUAGGCGGGACGGUAAGUCAGCGGUAAAAAUGCGGAGCUCAACUCCGUCGCGCCGUUGAAACUGCCGG
This 305-nucleotide ribosomal RNA is filed under the name uncultured bacterium. RNAcentral's name for it is "bacterial SSU rRNA". It matches the Rfam family "Bacterial small subunit ribosomal RNA", at positions 337 to 639 of the family's 1533-position model. The record is from RNAcentral.